GCCAGGGAACUACGAGCAAAGCUUAAAACCCAAAGGACUUGACGGUGCCCAUAUCCCACUAGAGGAGCCUGUCCUGUAAUCGAUGAUCCCCGUUAAACCUCACCACUUCUAGCCCAUCAGCCUGUAUAUUUCCGUCGUAAGCUAACCACAUGAGUGAAGCUCAGUUAGUACAAAGAUCUACCCCCCCCCCCCCAUCAACACGUCAGGUCAAAAUGCAGCAAAUGAAGCGGGAAGAGAUUGGCUACACUUUUUAUUAUAAAAGAAGACGAAAGACAAUAAUGAAACUUUGUCAGAAGGCGGAUUUAGUAGUAAAAAGAAUUCAUAAUAUUCAUUUGAACCUGGCACUGGAGCGUGU
RNAcentral lists this ribosomal RNA (355 nucleotides) under Eleutherodactylus schwartzi. RNAcentral describes it as "partial 12S ribosomal RNA". It matches the Rfam family "Bacterial small subunit ribosomal RNA", at positions 871 to 1384 of the family's 1533-position model. The record is from RNAcentral. Lineage: Eukaryota; Metazoa; Chordata; Amphibia; Anura; Eleutherodactylidae.